RNAcentral lists this ribosomal RNA (468 nucleotides) under uncultured bacterium. Its description in RNAcentral is "partial 16S ribosomal RNA". It matches the Rfam family "Bacterial small subunit ribosomal RNA", at positions 28 to 507 of the family's 1533-position model. The record is from RNAcentral.
GACGAACGCUGCCGCCUUGCUUAACACAUCCAAGUCGAACGGGGAUGCUCCAGCUGGCUGGAUGGGAUCAUUGCCGAACGGGUGGGUAACACGUGAGCAACCUCCCCCAGACCCUGGAAUAAGCGCUGGAAACGGCGUCUAUUACGGGAUACGAAACUGGCCGGCAUGGGCAUGGUUUGGAAGGUUUUUCGGUUUGGGAUGGGCUCGCGGCCUAUCAGCUUGUUGGUGAGGUAAUGGCUCACCAAGGCGACGACGGGUAGCCGGCCUGAGAGGGCGACCGGCCACACUGGGACUGAGACACGGCCCAGACUCCUACGGGAGGCAGCAGUGGGGAAUAUUGCACAAUGGGCGAAAGCCUGAUGCAGCGACGCCGCGUGAGGGAUGACGGCCUUCGGGUUGUAAACCUCUUUCAGCAGGGAAGAAGCGAAAGUGACGGUACCUGCAGAAGAAGCACCGGCUAACUACGUG